This is a small nucleolar RNA of Abrus precatorius (Indian licorice), 125 nucleotides long. RefSeq annotates it as small nucleolar RNA SNORD14. The transcript has a single exon. The record is from RefSeq and is a predicted model, not a curated record. NCBI's taxonomy places the organism in Eukaryota, Viridiplantae, Streptophyta, Magnoliopsida, Fabales, Fabaceae.
AAUCCAUGAUGACUAUCAUUUAAGGCUUGUUUCUCAAAACAUUCGCAGUGGCCGCCUAAGAACUUUCGCAUUGGCCAGGCUUGAGAGCUAAUGCUGCUAUAAUCCUUCCCUGGAUGUCUCAUAUA